GGUUUUUAGCCUGGCAGAGCCAUCCUGAAGAGGAAGAGCUGAAGAAACCUAUUUUGAAUUGGAAAAGAAAAACUCAGUGUAUUGUGAGCCUCUCAUACCAUGAUGAUCCAGGAUUCCAGCUUCUUUGGGGAAGAUUCACAGGGAGUUUAACCGAAUGUAAGGUGGAAGUGAGGUGACUAAAGCAGAGAGUCACAUGACUCUCAGAUAUCAUCACAUUGGUUUUCGCCUACAGCCUGGGAGAUACACUGGGGAUACUGUAGCCGUCUGAUUAUGAGCCUGAAGAUGAAGGUAAUACACAGAGAUGUUUACUACUUCCUCUUCCUCUUCAAGAAUCACAGAGCAGUGGAGUUGAAGCCACUGAAUUAAGUAAAUCCUAAAACCCGCACGACCUAUGGACUU
Molecule: long non-coding RNA, 399 nt
Organism: Neofelis nebulosa (Clouded leopard)
Lineage: Eukaryota; Metazoa; Chordata; Mammalia; Carnivora; Felidae
Exons: 4
Source: RefSeq, a predicted model, not a curated record